CUCUGAAAGCGACAAUGACAACUUCAGAUCAGAUCAAACGACGCAAUUGAUUGUGAGCUUUGACGCGAUCCGUUCCUCGCACGCGCUGGUACGCACGCACACUCGCUCUCGCACGCGCGCACAAACACAUACACAAAAUUCGUGUGCGAUCUCAGAUAAGUGUGAAAAAUUCUCCAAAACAAAGCGCACGUUCUGACAGAUGCCCCGGUGUACGUCGUCGAUGCGGCUCGUGUCGUCGCGCGAUGUACGCCCACUACACGUCGAGACAGAUAUCACGGAACAGAUAAACGGAGCACGGAGCGUCGUGGCGUGCCUUAUCACGUCCGCUGAUAAUCGCAGGGGAAAUUCGCGGAAUCAUAAGCGGAGAAAUCGAGAGUUCGACGCGCUCGCUGCGACACAGUGCUCGGUCGGCUUUAUCGGCGAGAAACGAUUAAACAUAUACAAAAGCGAUUCAAAAGCUGACAAGGGCGUAUAAUAAAUGGCACCUAGUAUCGAGAAGAUUAAAGAUCAAACUACAGAGAAUAAGGCAAGGUAUUUCAAUUUAGCAAGAGGACACCGCGAUUGAGCCAUCGCCAUCGCUGUUCUCAGUCCGUCGUCGGUAGUGAUGGAAUAAGGCGCGAUGACAGGAGAAGGAAAGGAGAGGAAAGCGCAGCUGGCCAGUCGCUGUUCCCGCUGCGUUGAUCAACCUGCAACGCGGAAGUCGCGCGUAAGAUUCGAGUGUCACGGAACGCAUCUUUGGUGAACAUACACGCGAAAGAGUUACGAUCUUGACAAUCCGUACGAGUGUCAAUGGCCUCUCUCACGAGCAAAUGAAUCGAACCAGCGCGAUGGCACGCUAGACUGUUUGUGAUGAACCAAACGCGGUCGCGGAACUGCAGAGAGAGAGAAAGAGAGAGGCCGCAGCUUUCUUCGCAAACUUUCACCGCCAGCCGCGUACAGUAUGACACGAUAUCACUCCGGGUUCAAGAACCUCUUGGCGGAUUCUAGACGCGAUUUGAUUUCUUGGACAGUCUGUGAAAUUUACAAACUCGAAACGUUUGUCGAUAUUAUAGAACCGACGGUUAUUUAAAUACAAUCAAUUUACUCUUGUUUCUUCGUUAAUAUUAUGAUUGUGGAGUUAAAUGAGAAAAAAGCAAAUAAUGAGAGUCAUUAAUGAAUUCAUUUAACUACGCUCGCGAAUGCGAUUGUGAAUUAAUGUUUCUAAAUAGCAAAAUUGACUUUGAUUAUUUUCUUCCCGCAAUCAUAUCGAUCUUUAUGUUGAAUAAGGAAAAUCCAAAACUAAAAAACACGUCGCACGAAAUGUGUGAAAUAUGAAUUUCAUAUGAAUACUUAGAAAAAUUAUUAUUAGAAAAAUUAUGACAUAUUUAUUUUAAAUAUAAAACAGAAUAAUAGUAAUUCUUUAAAUAUUAGAAGCUCUCAUAUUUUUAUUUUAAAAUAGCGACUUUAUAAUUAGCGUUAUUAAUAUCAAAAUUAAAGGUUUACGUUUUAUAAUUGCAAGCGAUGACCAUUUUAAUUCUAUUUUUAUUCUUCAAUUUUAAUUCUUCAAAAAUUCACAAGUAAUUCCGGAUGUACGCAAAAAUAAACGCAAAUUCACGUUUCAAGUUAACGUCACGAAU
This is a long non-coding RNA of Cataglyphis hispanica, 1616 nucleotides long. RefSeq lists it as uncharacterized. The transcript has 4 exons. The record is from RefSeq and is a predicted model, not a curated record. Lineage: Eukaryota; Metazoa; Arthropoda; Insecta; Hymenoptera; Formicidae.